Schistosoma mansoni is the source of this 185-nucleotide ribosomal RNA. It matches the Rfam family "Eukaryotic large subunit ribosomal RNA", at positions 2131 to 2334 of the family's 3401-position model. NCBI's taxonomy places the organism in Eukaryota, Metazoa, Platyhelminthes, Trematoda, Strigeidida, Schistosomatidae. The record is from Rfam.
AAUCCGACUGUCUAAUUAAAACAAAGCAUUGCGAUGUCCACUGAUUGGUUUUGACGCAAUGUGAUUUCUGUCCAGUGCUCUGAAUGUCAAAGUGAAGAAAUUCAACCAAGCGCGGGUAAACGGCGGGAGUAACUAUGACUCUCUUCCGGUGAACAGCACGCUGCUCUCCACGGUGUUCUGAGUUU